RNAcentral lists this ribosomal RNA (466 nucleotides) under Vreelandella stevensii. Its description in RNAcentral is "partial 16S ribosomal RNA". It matches the Rfam family "Bacterial small subunit ribosomal RNA", at positions 338 to 795 of the family's 1533-position model. Lineage: Bacteria; Pseudomonadati; Pseudomonadota; Gammaproteobacteria; Oceanospirillales; Halomonadaceae. The record is from RNAcentral.
CCUACGGGCGGCAGCAGUGGGGAAUAUUGGACAAUGGGCGAAAGCCUGAUCCAGCCAUGCCGCGUGUGUGAAGAAGGCCUUCGGGUUGUAAAGCACUUUCAGUGGGGAAGAAAGCCUUGGGGCUAAUACCCUCGAGGAAGGACAUCACCCACAGAAGAAGCACCGGCUAACUCCGUGCCAGCAGCCGCGGUAAUACGGAGGGUGCGAGCGUUAAUCGGAAUUACUGGGCGUAAAGCGCGCGUAGGCGGUCUGAUAAGCCGGUUGUGAAAGCCCCGGGCUCAACCUGGGAACGGCAUCCGGAACUGUCAGGCUAGAGUGCAGGAGAGGAAGGUAGAAUUCCCGGUGUAGCGGUGAAAUGCGUAGAGAUCGGGAGGAAUACCAGUGGCGAAGGCGGCCUUCUGGACUGACACUGACGCUGAGGUGCGAAAGCGUGGGUAGCAAACAGGAUUAGAUUACCCCAGUAGUC